AACAUUAUGUCUGAUUAAAGUAAUAAAUUGUAAAUUUAUUUAAGAAAUUUUUUAUUUCUAAUGUUA
Molecule: transfer RNA, 66 nt
Filed under: Parapolybia nodosa
Lineage: Eukaryota; Metazoa; Arthropoda; Insecta; Hymenoptera; Vespidae
Description: tRNA-Tyr
Source: RNAcentral